Non-coding RNA from Macaca mulatta (Rhesus monkey), 173 nucleotides. Lineage: Eukaryota; Metazoa; Chordata; Mammalia; Primates; Cercopithecidae. The record is from RefSeq and is a predicted model, not a curated record.
AGAACUUUGUGGAAGAAAGAACUUAAGAAUGAUGAAUGAGGAUGUCUGGCAGAAGAAAUAUCUAAGCAGCAGGAUGAUGCAGUAAAAAGGCCCUUGCCAGAUGGAGGCCCCUCCUUGUUGGAUGCCCCAGCCUCCAGAACUGUGAGAAAUAAACUUCUGUUCUUUACAAAUUA